CUUUUAGUUUGGAUAAUAAAAGCUAGCAGUGAAAGUCAAGAUUUGGUUUUGUUUUUGAAAAAGUGCAGUGGUUAUUACUUUAGAAAAUGAUAUCAAAGAUUUUAAUUUUGUCAUUUGUUUAAGCUUAACAUUAUCAAAUGAAUCUGAGAAAGUCAGCCAAUGUACUAAUUAUCAUGGUCUAAAACUAAAAGCUGGAGAAACUAAACCUGUCCCGGGAACAUGUAAUAUAGCAACUUGCAAGGACAAUGGAAGUAUUUUCGUUAAAACUUGUGCAGAAUUUGACGUCUUACCACCUUGAAAAAUAGUAGAUGGAGAUACAACAAAGCUCUAUCCAGACUGCUGUCCAAAAUCUUGGUGUCCAGGUGAUAAUUAAUAAUUUCUGAACAUGCUCAAAUUGUUUGUUAUAAAUAAAUAAAUUACUAAUUGUAUGUU
Long non-coding RNA from Diabrotica virgifera virgifera (western corn rootworm), 432 nucleotides. RefSeq lists it as uncharacterized. The record is from RefSeq and is a predicted model, not a curated record. Lineage: Eukaryota; Metazoa; Arthropoda; Insecta; Coleoptera; Chrysomelidae. The transcript has 3 exons.